RNAcentral lists this small RNA (75 nucleotides) under Novosphingobium taihuense. RNAcentral describes it as "suhB". It matches the Rfam family "Makes More Granules Regulator RNA (mmgR)". Rfam says of the family: SuhB later renamed mmgR (makes more granules regulator) was a putative non-coding RNA found multiple times in the Agrobacterium tumefaciens genome and related alpha-proteobacteria. Other non-coding RNAs uncovered in the same analysis include: speF, ybhL, metA, and serC. The record is from RNAcentral. Lineage: Bacteria; Pseudomonadati; Pseudomonadota; Alphaproteobacteria; Sphingomonadales; Sphingomonadaceae.
AGGGGGUGCCUUUCAGGCAUCCUCUCCCAAACUUUCCAAGGGGCUGGCGCAAGUCAGCCCCCUUUUUUGUCUUCU